RNAcentral lists this ribosomal RNA (1475 nucleotides) under Candidatus Pelagibacter sp. RNAcentral describes it as "bacterial SSU rRNA". It matches the Rfam family "Bacterial small subunit ribosomal RNA". Lineage: Bacteria; Pseudomonadati; Pseudomonadota; Alphaproteobacteria; Candidatus Pelagibacterales; Candidatus Pelagibacteraceae. The record is from RNAcentral.
AAACUUGAGAGUUUGAUCAUGGCUCAGAACGUACGCUGGCGGCACGCCUAACACAUGCAAGUCGAACGAAGUAGCAAUACUUAGUGGCAGACGGGUGAGUAACAUGUGGGUAUCUGCCCUUUGGCCUGGAAUAACACGAGGAAACUUGUGCUAAUACCGGAUAAGUCUUUACGGAGAAAGCUUUAUGCACCAUUGGAUGAGCCCGCACUUGAUUAGUUUGUUGGUGGGGUAAUGGCCUACCAAGACUGUGAUCAAUAGCUGAUUUGAGAGGAUGAUCAGCCACAUUGGGACUGAGACACGGCCCAAACUCCUACGGGAGGCAGCAGUGGGGAAUCUUGCACAAUGGAGGAAACUCUGAUGCAGCGAUGCCGCGUGAGUGAAGAAGGCCCUUGGGUUGUAAAGCUCUUUCGUCGGGGAAGAAAAUGACUGUACCCGAAUAAGAAGGUCCGGCUAACUUCGUGCCAGCAGCCGCGGUAAUACGAAGGGACCUAGCGUAGUUCGGAAUUACUGGGCUUAAAGAGUUCGUAGGUGGUUGAAAAAGUUAGUGGUGAAAUCCCAGAGCUUAACUCUGGAACUGCCAUUAAAACUUUUCAGCUAGAGUAUGAUAGAGGAAAGCAGAAUUUCUAGUGUAGAGGUGAAAUUCGUAGAUAUUAGAAAGAAUACCAAUUGCGAAGGCAGCUUUCUGGAUCAUUACUGACACUGAGGAACGAAAGCAUGGGUAGCGAAGAGGAUUAGAUACCCUCGUAGUCCAUGCCGUAAACGAUGUGUGUUAGACGUUGGAAAUUUAUUUUCAGUGUCGCAGCGAAAGCGAUAAACACACCGCCUGGGGAGUACGACCGCAAGGUUAAAACUCAAAUGAAUUGACGGGGACCCGCACAAGUAGUGGAGCAUGUGGUUUAAUUCGAAGAUACGCGCAGAACCUUACCAACACUUGACAUGUUCGUCGCGACUCUAAGAGAUUAGAGUUUUCGGUUCGGCCGGACGAAACACAGGUGCUGCAUGGCUGUCGUCAGCUCGUGUCGUGAGAUGUUGGGUUAAGUCCCGCAACGAGCGCAACCCUCACUUUUAGUUGCCAUCAUUAAGUUGGGCACUCUGAAAGAACUGCCAGUGAUAAGCUGGAGGAAGGUGGGGAUGACGUCAAGUCCUCAUGGCCCUUACGUGUUGGGCUACACACGUGCUACAAUGGUAUCUACAACAGGAAGCAAGACUGCGAGGUCAAGCAAAUCCUUAAAAGAUACCUCAGUUCGGAUUGCACUCUGCAACUCGAGUGCAUGAAGCUGGAAUUACUAGUAAUCGUGGAUCAGCGUGCCACGGUGAAUGCGUUCCCGGGUCUUGUACACACCGCCCGUCACACCAUGGGAGUUGGUUCUACCUUAAGGCAAGGUUUCAAACCCUUGACCACGGUAUAGUCAGCGACUGGGGUGAAGUCGUAACAAGGUAGCCGUAGGGGAACCUGCGGCUGGAUUACCUCCUUU